Telopea speciosissima is the source of this 338-nucleotide long non-coding RNA. RefSeq lists it as uncharacterized. The transcript has 2 exons. The record is from RefSeq and is a predicted model, not a curated record. NCBI's taxonomy places the organism in Eukaryota, Viridiplantae, Streptophyta, Magnoliopsida, Proteales, Proteaceae.
GUAAAGAUGUGAAGAGAAAUUAACUGGACCCUAUUCCCAUCUAUGUAUUGGCAUUACUCCUGCCUUUAAUGAAUCAUAUUUUGAGCAUUCGAUUGUAAUGACUUCAACAUAAGAUGGAAAUUGGCACUGGUAUUUGCUAGGGUAGCAUAAUGAAGCUCCAGGCAUGCCCAUUAGCUUUCAGGAAAAACUUGAAGCUGGUAUAAACCAUGCUGAUCUACUUGCCUAUUGUUACUGGGUCCCCUAUUCGCUGCUGCAACUUUGAUCUGCUCUGAUACCGUGUAAAUUUUCAACACAAAAGUUUGAACUAUUGAUUGGAGGGACUCACAAAGAUAUGAGGG